UCCCUAGUAGCUAAGAUGGUAAAGCAUCCGCCUGCAAUGCAGGAGACCUGGGUUUGAUCCCUGGGUUGGGAA
This 72-nucleotide transfer RNA is filed under the name Bos taurus (domestic cattle). It matches the Rfam family "tRNA". From Rfam's summary of the family: Transfer RNA (tRNA) molecules are approximately 80 nucleotides in length. Their secondary structure includes four short double-helical elements and three loops (D, anti-codon, and T loops). Further hydrogen bonds mediate the characteristic L-shaped molecular structure. tRNAs have two regions of fundamental functional importance: the anti-codon, which is responsible for specific mRNA codon recognition, and the 3' end, to which the tRNAs corresponding amino acid is attached (by aminoacyl-tRNA synthetases). tRNAs cope with the degeneracy of the genetic code in two manners: having more than one tRNA (with a specific anti-codon) for a particular amino acid; and 'wobble' base-pairing, i.e. permitting non-standard base-pairing at the 3rd anti-codon position. The record is from Rfam by way of RNAcentral. Lineage: Eukaryota; Metazoa; Chordata; Mammalia; Artiodactyla; Bovidae. RNAcentral also lists the same sequence under 2 other names.